This 352-nucleotide transfer-messenger RNA is filed under the name pig gut metagenome. It matches the Rfam family "transfer-messenger RNA". From Rfam's summary of the family: Bacterial tmRNA, also known as 10Sa RNA or SsrA, is named for its dual tRNA and mRNA-like properties. Its role is to liberate the mRNA from a stalled ribosome. To accomplish this part of the tmRNA is used as a reading frame that ends in a translation stop signal. The record is from RNAcentral.
GGGGCCGUAAAGGCUUCGACGGGGAUUCUGAGGCACGAUAAGCGAGUAGUGAGGGCGAAAUCACUUUAAUCGUCGCAAACUUAAAUUUAAACGCAGACGAAGAUCUCGUUUUAGCAGCUGCCUAAGCGCGCUGCCGUCGUUCCUCGCAGUACCGCGGGCGGGGUAACGGCGUCGACUAGCGGUGAACGUCAGUUACAAAUAGCCUUAUAGUUUCUGAUGCAUUAAAGGCUACCAAACGCUGAAGCCUGUUUGUCGGCGUCGGCGCAAGGGAAUCUUAAAAGAUAAACUGCACUCGGAGAAAAUUGUGAGGACGGGUUUUCGGACAGGGGUUCAAUUCCCCUCGGCUCCACCA